AUGUUCAGAUGUCAGAUUGUCCUCCUUCAAAAAUAAAAAUAACUCUUUUUAAACCAAUAAGUACAUAAAUUCAAGAGAAUACGUCUUCAUCGACUACUCCAGAAAGUACUCAUGAAAUAUCAUCCAUAAUCUAUACAUCUCCAUUUAAGGUCACACCACAAGACAACUACCAAUCAUUAAUCCCUGUUGUGCAAGAAGAAAUAGUGUUACAAGGACAAUCUUGGAACCAUUUAAACGCAGAUGACAACGGAUUUCCUUUGAAUUUAUUUAGUAUGGCACUUGACAAUGAAACGCUC
Sipha flava (yellow sugarcane aphid) is the source of this 296-nucleotide long non-coding RNA. RefSeq lists it as uncharacterized. The record is from RefSeq and is a predicted model, not a curated record. Lineage: Eukaryota; Metazoa; Arthropoda; Insecta; Hemiptera; Aphididae. The transcript is spliced from 3 exons.